Long non-coding RNA from Scylla paramamosain (green mud crab), 1427 nucleotides. RefSeq lists it as uncharacterized. The record is from RefSeq and is a predicted model, not a curated record. NCBI's taxonomy places the organism in Eukaryota, Metazoa, Arthropoda, Malacostraca, Decapoda, Portunidae. The transcript is spliced from 2 exons.
AAGACACACUCUGCUCACUGCUCGCCUACACACUACCACUCAAAACGGGAUUACUGGGUUAGCUAGACGUCAGCCUGAGUGCCGCGAGGUGCCACACCCGCCCCAUCCAAAGGUCUCACUGGGACUGACUGUCAAGAUCCUGCUUCAUCGCUGCUGCUCAGUGUGGGAGUGGUUCAGAACGGACGAUGUUUCAAGAAACAAUACGCUGCGUCAUGGAAUCCCGCGUGAACAGAACACACUCCGGCGGGAGGCGACGAUGCCACAUUUCCUUGAUAGAUCUCUUUUCGACAAGUGUUUGUUUGUAUUUUGAAACAAUACGCAUCAUACAGUGAGAUGGAUUCGUGGAGGACUUGCAAGAAGUGAGAGCAACACCAAAAUAACCAAUGGAGAGAAACACGGCAAGGCUUCCCCGAGGCGGCAACGCGGCGCCGGGCGAGGAAACUCAGGAAACCCACGGAAGGAAACCAUUCUCUGAUCGUUAUUUUUCUUCCAAACUUAUCAUAAGCCUUCCAGCAUUUCUCUGACCCCACAUGCGCUACUGUUGUCACUGUUCAUCAGUGACUAUAUUCAUCUAACCCAUGCCAUCUGCAAAGUGAGUGCAGACUGGAGCGGCAAUAAUGACGCAAAUAGUACAAAGUGUAGUGACUUACAAGAAAAAAUAAAUAAAUAAAAUAAAAUAAAAUAAAUAAAUAAAUAAUGCUGAGAAAGGUGUAAUGUUAUAAUAAAUUAAUCAUUUUAUACUAUUCCUCACUAUAAUUAUGUGAUAAAUGAAUAAAGUUAGUACACUACUGUUCCGUGUGUGCUAAGAGAAGGUGCCCACUUAUCUUAUCAGAGAAUGGGCGAAGCAUGCCCUUAUCACACACUUGCACCACCACCUUGCUGUUCUGUAUUGCUUCUGUCGCUUUGUCUCCCAAUGGAACACUGAUAAUUAUUUCUGACCAAAUUUUUAAACGUUUUGUGAUGGAAAUUAUUGGGGUUCUCAAGGGUGUUGUUUUAUCAGAAGCUUUUGGUAGAGCCCGGCGUAAACCUUUAAUCUCUGAGCUCUUCUUUGUCUGUCUUUCUAAACGCUCAGAAAAAAAGAAAAAAAAUAUUGUGUCAUAGGCCGGGCUCUUAUCACCUAUCUAUCUAUUCCAUAAGAUUUCAACCGAAUAACUAAUAUCUAACAUCAUCCAGUCCACUCGUUUUAUGAUGACUCUCCUCUCCAUUUCUUCACCUCAUUUGCAAGAUUACCAACUAAUCACAAACCAAGUAAUAGUGUUGCUCAAUGCCUCAAAAUUUCAAAAUGUUCACCUAUCUACUUGACAGCUUUCUGAACAACAAACACUCUUCUUUUAAUGACACUAAUUUAUCUUAUGUGAUGAAUGUACUUAGGCUGUUUAAUAAAAAAAUAAAAUAAAUAAAUAAAUAAAUAAAUAAAUAACAAUUCA